AUGGAUCGCCAAACUAGUGCCCGAGUGGACCUGGAGAGCAUGCUGUUGGAUGAAACCAAAGAACCAAAGGCUUUGCAAUUACCACUUUUACAAGACAUUACAAAGAGUUUCUCUGCUGACCAUGAAAUUGGACGUGGCGGAUUUGCGGUGGUUUAUAAGGGGGUCCUUGACAAUGGCAUGGUUGCUGUGAAGAAGCUGUCCAACACGUAUUUGUACGAGAAUAAAUUCCAGACGGAGAUUCAAUGUCUGAUGAAGGUGAAGCACAGAAAUGUUGUACGCUUUUUAGGAUAUUGUUGCGACACACAAGGGCAAGUAGCCAUGCAUGAAGGCAAUUUUGUCAUGGCUGACAUACAAGAAAGAAUACUCUGCUUUGAGUUUCUACCCAAGGGGGAUCUUUGUAACUAUAUCUCCGUUGCGUCCAGUGGACUUGAGUGGAGAGAUCGCUACAAAAUAAUAAAAGGAAUCUGUGAAGGAUUGAAUUACCUUCACAGAAAUGGUAUUGUUCACCUUGAUCUUAAACCAGCAAAUAUCCUCAUGGAUGCUAAAAUGGUGCCGAAAAUUGGUGACUUUGGCCUAUCAAGGUGCUUUCAGGAAGACCAAACCCGCACUAUUGCUACAACAAUUGCUGGAACCCUUGGAUAUCUAGCACCAGAAUUCAGCGACCGCGUAAUUACACAUAAAUAUGACUUGUACAGUCUUGGAGUAAUAAUCACGGAGAUACUGACCGGAGAAAAAGGUUAUAGUGAUGUUGAGGAAGUACUUGAAAGUUGGAGCAAUAGGUUGGAGAAAUCACAGAGACAACAAGUAAGAGUAUGCACUGAGAUAGCAUUACAGUGCACUGAGCGCAAUCCUAAGAGAAGGCCAACUAGUACACAAUAUGUAAUUGAUCGGCUUACUGAAACAGAAAGCGCGGGAACAAUGGAGCUACUUGACGUCUACCUUGUCGAGCUUCGCUUCCCUGUCGAACCCAACACAGAUGAACACGCAGUAUUCAGGCUUGUGAUUAAGAGCAUCAAGCCUUGGCGUUGCUUCGCAAGUCUCCCACUAUAUGGCAUUGUGCCUCCCAAGUCCUCUACUUACACUCUCGUUGUUACAGCGCAACAGCAAGAGAGGCUACCAGAAGAAAUGGAGUACGAUCUAAUCCUGCAGAGCAAUCUGUCAGGGGAUAAAAGCAUCCCUACUUUGAGAGACCAAUCUAAGUAUGAUAAGUUUUUCGACGAAGCUAAAGUGUCAGGGAAUGCAGUGCGUGAGGUGAUGCUGAAAACUGUUUUUGCUUCACAAGGACAGACAACAUCAGAGACAAUCUCAAGAAGACUAAAGGAUCAAUGGAUAAUAUCCCUGAAGAAUACUCAUGGCAUGCUGUGCUCCCUUGAUGCACAGCCCACCGAGCCAUGCAUUGUAACAAGUCAUCAGCAUGGAGAUGUUUGCGUAUGGAACUAUGACCCGCAGAGACGGACGGAUUCAUUUAAUGUGUCAAAGGAGUCAAUCAUGCCCUCUUACUCAUUGUCGAAUAAAGUUCAUUCUGUUAAGGUUAUCUCAAGAAAGAAAUGGUUUGUGGCUGGGACAUCUGAUGGUGUGAUCCAUGUGUACAAUUACGACAACAAAAUACAAAAACUCAGGAGUUUCAGAGCCGCCAGUGAUUGCUUCAUCACAUCAAUGGCCGUCCAUCCAACCCGCCCAUAUGUAUUGUCAUCGGCUCAUUGUGAUAUGAAGCUCUGGGACUGGGACAACGGCUGGGAGUGCACACAAUCAUUCAUGCAAGAACACUCCGAUACUAUACAGCAAGUCGCAUUUAACCCAGUGGACUCCAAUAUGUUUGCAAGUGCUUCAGAUGAUCAAACAGUAAAGGUUUGGAGCGUCGAUUCUCCCGAAUCAAAGUAUACUUUGUCUGGGCAUCAGGACAAAGUGAACUGUCUCGAUUUCUUCAAAUCUAAUGAUCGACAAUAUUUGAUUACUGGCUCUGACGACCACACCGCUAAGAUAUGGGACAUGGAGGAAAAGGCUUGUGUUCAUACGAUGCAAGCUUUCAUAUCUCCGGUAAUUUCUGUCAUGGCCUUUCCCGAUAGCUCAUAUCUAAUUACAGGUUCAAGAGAUGGCUCUCUUCAUUUCUGGAGCUCCGCUGAAUUCAGUGAUUUCUGCAUGGUUCCUAGGCUGGAGAGAAUCGUUAACUUUGGCUCUGGUGGAGCUAUUUGGGGUCUCGGACGUUUCAUGGGGUCAAGAAGGAUGUGCCACGCCUUUUAA
This 2241-nucleotide ribosomal RNA is filed under the name Triticum aestivum (bread wheat). RNAcentral describes it as "partial small subunit ribosomal RNA". Lineage: Eukaryota; Viridiplantae; Streptophyta; Magnoliopsida; Poales; Poaceae. The record is from RNAcentral.